This 773-nucleotide ribosomal RNA is filed under the name uncultured Neocallimastigales. RNAcentral describes it as "partial large subunit ribosomal RNA". It matches the Rfam family "Eukaryotic large subunit ribosomal RNA", at positions 23 to 645 of the family's 3401-position model. The record is from RNAcentral. Lineage: Eukaryota; Fungi; Neocallimastigomycota; Neocallimastigomycetes; Neocallimastigales.
AGAGAGAGACAUGCGCGCAUAUCAAUAAGCGGAGGAAAAGAAACUAACUAGGAUUCCCUCAGUAACGGCGAGUGAAGCGGGAAGAGCUCAAAUUUGAAAUCUUAAAGGUUUCCCUUGACGAAUUGUAGUUUAAAGAAGUGUUUUCUGUUGGAGUUUUGGUAAAAGUUCUUUGGAAUAGGACAUCAUAGAGGGUGAGAAUCCCGUAUUUGACCAUUACUUUCAGCUUUGUGAUACACUUUCAAAGAGUCGGAUUGUUUGGGAAUGCAGUCCAAAAUGGGUGGUAAAUUUCAUCUAAAGCUAAAUAUUGGCGAGAGACCGAUAGCGAACAAGUACCGUGAGGGAAAGAUGAAAAGAACUUUGAAAAGAGAGUUAAACAGUACGUGAAAUUGUCAAAAGGGAAGCGUUUGACACCAGUGUUGUUUUCUCGAAAAUCAAUUAAAAAAGGCAGGAUUUUGUGUUGUAUUGACUUUAUCAGCUUUCUGCAGCUCUUUUCUUGUCUUUUUUAAUGCACUUUUCGUUUAACAAGUCAACAUCAAUUUCUUUUGUUGUAAAAGGGUCAUUGGAAGGUGGCUUUCUUUUCGGAGAAAGUGUUUAUAGCCUUUGGCCUCUGCAAUCGGAGAGAUUGAGGUCUGCAGCGUAGAUCCUUCGGGGUUAGAUACAUUUGUGCUAAGUUAUAGCCUUUCAUAGACAACUUGUUGACUAUGAUCAGUCAUGUAGCUUACUCGCUUAUGCUAUUUUACCUACGCUUAGGAUGUUGAUGUGAUACUGCGAGC